Molecule: non-coding RNA, 111 nt
Organism: Pteropus alecto (black flying fox)
Lineage: Eukaryota; Metazoa; Chordata; Mammalia; Chiroptera; Pteropodidae
Source: Rfam
GUCUAUGGCCACCCUGAACAAGCCCAAUGUCUGAUCUUAGAAGCUAAGCAGGGUCAGGCCUCAUUAGUACUUGGAUGGGAGACCACCUAGGAAGACCAUGUGCUGUAGGUA